RNAcentral lists this ribosomal RNA (253 nucleotides) under uncultured bacterium. Its description in RNAcentral is "partial 16S ribosomal RNA". It matches the Rfam family "Bacterial small subunit ribosomal RNA", at positions 524 to 776 of the family's 1533-position model. The record is from RNAcentral.
UACGGAGGGGACUAGCGUUGUUCGGAAUUACUGGGCGUAAAGCGCGUGUAGGCGGCCAGGUAAGUCGGAUGUGAAAUCCCGGGGCCCAACCCCGGAACUGCACCCGAUACUGCCCGGCUGGAGUCCCGGAGAGGAUGGCGGAAUUUCCGGUGUAGAGGUGAAAUUCGUAGAUAUCGGAAGGAACACCAGUGGCGAAGGCGGCCAUCUGGACGGUGACUGACGCUGAGACGCGAAAGCGUGGGGAGCAAACAGG